This 553-nucleotide ribosomal RNA is filed under the name uncultured bacterium. RNAcentral describes it as "partial 16S ribosomal RNA". It matches the Rfam family "Bacterial small subunit ribosomal RNA", at positions 355 to 898 of the family's 1533-position model. The record is from RNAcentral.
UAGGGAAUCUUCCACAAUGGACGCAAGUCUGAUGGAGCAACGCCGCGUGAGUGAAGAAGGUUUUCGGACCGUAAAGCUCUGUUGUUGGUGAAGAAGAAUAGAGGUAGUAACUGGCCUUUAUUUGACGGUAAUCAACCAGAAAGUCACGGCUAACUACGUGCCAGCAGCCGCGGUAAUACGUAGGUGGCAAGCGUUGUCCGGAUUUAUUGGGCGUAAAGCGAGCGCAGGCGGAAGAAUAAGUCUGAUGUGAAAGCCCUCGGCUUAACCGAGGAAUUGCAUCGGAAACUGUUUUUCUUGAGUGCAGAAGAGGAGAGUAGAACUCCAUGUGUAGCGGUGGAAUGCGUAGAUAUAUGGAAGAAUACCAGUGGCGAAGGCGGCUCUCUGGUCUGCAACUGACGCUGAGGCUCGAAAGCAUGGGUAGCGAACAGGAUUAGAUACCCUGGUAGUCCAUGCCGUAAACGAUGAGUGCUAAGUGUUGGGAGGCUUCCGCCUCUCAGUGCUGCAGCUAACGCAUUAAGCACUCCGCCUGGGGGAGUACGACCGCAAGGUUGAA